This 36-nucleotide ribosomal RNA is filed under the name Markea costanensis. RNAcentral's name for it is "partial 26S ribosomal RNA". Lineage: Eukaryota; Viridiplantae; Streptophyta; Magnoliopsida; Solanales; Solanaceae. The record is from RNAcentral.
GGCGGGAUUACCCGCUGAGUUUAAGCAUAUCAAUAA